This 474-nucleotide ribosomal RNA is filed under the name uncultured bacterium. RNAcentral's name for it is "bacterial SSU rRNA". It matches the Rfam family "Bacterial small subunit ribosomal RNA", at positions 28 to 497 of the family's 1533-position model. The record is from RNAcentral.
GAUGAACGCUAGCGGCAGGCUUAACACAUGCAAGUCGAGGGGCAGCACGGGUAGCAAUACCUGGUGGCGACCGGCGCAAGGGUGCGUAACGCGUGAGCAACAUGCCCUAUACAGGGGGAUAAUCCAGGGAAACUUGGUCUAAUAUCCCAUAGCAUUUAGAGGAGGCAUCUUCACUAAAUUAAAGCUUCGGUGGUAUAGGAUUGGCUCGCGUGACAUUAGCUAGAUGGUGAGGUAACGGCCCACCAUGGCUAUGAUGUCUAGGGGUUCUGAGAGGAAGACCCCCCAACUGGGACUGAGACACGGCCCAGACUCCUACGGGAGGCAGCAGUGAGGAAUAUUGGACAAUGGAUGGAAAUCUGAUCCAGCCAUGCCGCGUGCAGGGAAGACGGCCCUAUGGGUUGUAAACUGCUUUUAUAUGGGAGCAAUAAGGUCUACGCGUAGACCGAUGAGAGUACCAUAUGAAUAAGCAUCGGA